GACGAACGCUGGCGGCGUGCCUAAUACAUGCAAGUAGAACGCUGAAGAGAGGAGCUUGCUCUUCUUGGAUGAGUUGCGAACGGGUGAGUAACGCGUAGGUAACCUGCCUUGUAGCGGGGGAUAACUAUUGGAAACGAUAGCUAAUACCGCAUAACAAUGGAUGACACAUGUCAUUUAUUUGAAAGGGGCAAUUGCUCCACUACAAGAUGGACCUGCGUUGUAUUAGCUAGUAGGUGAGGUAACGGCUCACCUAGGCGACGAUACAUAGCCGACCUGAGAGGGUGAUCGGCCACACUGGGACUGAGACACGGCCCAGACUCCUACGGGAGGCAGCAGUAGGGAAUCUUCGGCAAUGGGGGCAACCCUGACCGAGCAACGCCGCGUGAGUGAAGAAGGUUUUCGGAUCGUAAAGCUCUGUUGUAAGUCAAGAACGAGUGUGAGAGUGGAAAGUUCACACUGUGACGGUAGCUUACCAGAAAGGGACGGCUAACUACGUGCCAGCAGCCGCGGUAAUACGUAGGUCCCGAGCGUUGUCCGGAUUUAUUGGGCGUAAAGCGAGCGCAGGCGGUUUGAUAAGUCUGAAGUUAAAGGCUGUGGCUCAACCAUAGUUCGCUUUGGAAACUGUCAAACUUGAGUGCAGAAGGGGAGAGUGGAAUUCCAUGUGUAGCGGUGAAAUGCGUAGAUAUAUGGAGGAACACCGGUGGCGAAAGCGGCUCUCUGGUCUGUAACUGACGCUGAGGCUCGAAAGCGUGGGGAGCGAACAGGAUUAGAUACCCUGGUAGUCCACGCCGUAAACGAUGAGUGCUAGGUGUUGGAUCCUUUCCGGGAUUCAGUGCCGCAGCUAACGCAUUAAGCACUCCGCCUGGGGAGUACGACCGCAAGGUUGAAACUCAAAGGAAUUGACGGGGGCCCGCACAAGCGGUGGAGCAUGUGGUUUAAUUCGAAGCAACGCGAAGAACCUUACCAGGUCUUGACAUCCCGAUGCUAUUUCUAGAGAUAGAAAGUUACUUCGGUACAUCGGUGACAGGUGGUGCAUGGUUGUCGUCAGCUCGUGUCGUGAGAUGUUGGGUUAAGUCCCGCAACGAGCGCAACCCCUAUUGUUAGUUGCCAUCAUUCAGUUGGGCACUCUAGCGAGACUGCCGGUAAUAAACCGGAGGAAGGUGGGGAUGACGUCAAAUCAUCAUGCCCCUUAUGACCUGGGCUACACACGUGCUACAAUGGUUGGUACAACGAGUUGCGAGUCGGUGACGGCAAGCUAAUCUCUUAAAGCCAAUCUCAGUUCGGAUUGUAGGCUGCAACUCGCCUACAUGAAGUCGGAAUCGCUAGUAAUCGCGGAUCAGCACGCCGCGGCGAAUACGUUCCCGGGCCU
This 1369-nucleotide ribosomal RNA is filed under the name uncultured bacterium. RNAcentral's name for it is "bacterial SSU rRNA". It matches the Rfam family "Bacterial small subunit ribosomal RNA", at positions 28 to 1381 of the family's 1533-position model. The record is from RNAcentral.